GCAUCUUUUCUCAUCUUGCAGCUGACAGCAUCCUGUACAUCACAGGAUUUGGUCAUUAGGCUUCGUGAAACUUUCAGAAUUCUACUCUUGGGAACUGGCUGAGAGAGGAAGAUAUUUUCUGUGUGAAUUGGCAACCGAUAGGAGUGAAGAGGAUGUGCAAAGGAUGGAACUGGGCAUUCCCUGUGGAGCUGUGAUAUGUGGUUGGCAGGCUGCAGGCAAGAAUCCUGAAUCUAGCAUUUUUAUAUAUCUGUACAUUUGUAGGUAGAUUUAAAAAUUGUGUAAGCAUAGUGGGUUGAUUUGCUUUAAUUAAAACAAAUCAAGAUAUUUGUGGUUCAGUUCCAAUUAGAGCGUGAGAGAACAGUUCAAGUCUGUGAUUUGGGAGUGAGGCAGUAAGAAGCUCAAAAAGAACUGGAAAGGAAC
Molecule: long non-coding RNA, 420 nt
Filed under: Chrysolophus pictus (golden pheasant)
Lineage: Eukaryota; Metazoa; Chordata; Aves; Galliformes; Phasianidae
Description: lncRNA (ENSCPIG00010007399.1)
Source: RNAcentral